RNAcentral lists this transfer RNA (92 nucleotides) under Hypholoma sublateritium FD-334 SS-4. It matches the Rfam family "tRNA". From Rfam's summary of the family: Transfer RNA (tRNA) molecules are approximately 80 nucleotides in length. Their secondary structure includes four short double-helical elements and three loops (D, anti-codon, and T loops). The record is from Rfam by way of RNAcentral. Lineage: Eukaryota; Fungi; Basidiomycota; Agaricomycetes; Agaricales; Strophariaceae.
GGCGCUAUAGCCAAGUGGUUACGGCGACAGAUUCGAAUUUCUUGAUUAUCUGUUCCUCUUUGAGGGCGCAGGUUCAAAUCCUGCUGGCGUCG